UUCCAUAUCCAGUCAUCAUUCAUCUAAUUAAAGAAGUUAAAAAUUUGAAAAUUGACCAGAACUCUUGGGAAGUACUAGAGCUCUGUUCUAAAGACCAAAUGCAGGUGGUGCUGAAAAGAACAGCAGGUUUUCAAGAACCCUCCAAGCAACAUCCAUGCGUCUGCAAAUUGAAGUGAUUGGCCUCAUUGUUUAGAAUAUUCCGAGACUCAGGCAAGUCCUGUCUUCAGCGCUGCGACUCUUUCUCGGGAAAGGAUAAGAACAUCACUUCCCAGCCAAGAUUUUGAGUUGUUUUGAUAGUUCUCUGAUCAUUCCCAGAACUGUGAAGGAAUUCUCAGCUUUAAAUCCUCUGAAAAAAAUACAGGUACUCGUAAUCCAAUAUUUGAUUAUUUUAAUGGGGCAUCGAAGGUUUAGGCAGAGUCAUGAAAUCCAAACAAGCAAUUGAAUGUUGCAACCCACUUAAUAAAAUUAGUUCCAGGACACACAAAUCACUCAGUUGGAAGAGAAUCUUCAAGAAGAGGUUAUAAUUAAAGUAAGAGGGUUUCUCAUCAAGACAGAGCCUUAGGACUUUGGCUCUGAGGUAUAUAAGCUUUGCACAUUCUUUGAACCUGUCCUCACUACUUGAAAAGAGAGGGAGAGGGGGAGAUGGAGCUAGAGCCAGAGCCAGAGCAAGAAAGGAAAGGAGGGAGAGAAUUUUAAGGAAACUAUGACGCAUAAGGGAUAAAAAGAAAAAACAUCUGCUGGAUAAUUAGCAAAUUCCUUCACAAAGAGAACAUUUAAAAGUUUAAAGUUUUCGACACCAACUAGACCACACUGUUUCCAAAGUAAUGCUUACUAUUAUUUUCUAUUCUAAAUUCAGUCAGUUCAGGAAAUUCUUUAAAGAGGAAAGUAGGGGAAGAAGUGGAAAGGGGUGCCCUCUUCAGUAACUACCAAUUGAAAUCUCAAUCUGUUGUGAAGUUUUGGUAUCUUGUGUCCCCCACGAGGGGGAAAGAGCCUUAAAUAUCAUUUCCAAGCUGGCUCAAUAUUCGUUUGUCCUCAAUUUGAACCAAAUUAAUUUGAUAUCCAAAUGUGCUACUUUUUAACCAAGUGUUGUGCUAUGCUCAGUCACUCAGUUGUGUCUGACUCCGAAGGCCUUAGGACUGCAGCCUGCCAGGCUCCUCUGUCCAUGGGAUUUCUCAGGCAAGAAUACUGGAGUGGGUUGCCAUUUCUUCCUCCAAGGGAUCUUCCCAACCCAGGGAUCAAACUCAAACCUCCUGUGUCUCCUGCACUGCAGGUGAAUUCUUUACCUGCUGAGUCAUUUGGGAAGCCCAACAAAGCAAGUAAACUAUAUAUUUCAACUUCUUCAGUUGCUGAAGUGGAAAGGGGUGAAUUGUAUUUUUAGCUGAGCAAACAUAAAAGGGAGCUGGAAAUGGUUUGGGUCCCAUAUCCAGUAAGGAAAAUGGAGAACCGGUGGCCAAUCAGUCUACAAAAUUGGCUGAAUUUCAAGAAGAAAAAUGGUGAUGAGAAAGAUUCUGUGGAUCAAGAAAUCAGAUGCGGCACAAGAAUUCAGACAGAGAGGACUAGGUUUCCGCUCCACAGUGUCUGAGAUCUGGGUGGGGAAGACUUAAGCAGCUGGAGGGGGCAUGUCCAGAGAGCCGGGGACUGGAAGCACCUGAUGCUGCUUCCUAUACAUCUGACACCUGGCCUGGGAUGACUGGAAGACUGACUCAGGUGGAACUAUGGAUUGGGACACCUACUCGUGUAAUGUCUCCUUGGAGCUUGAGAGUCCUUACAGCACAGCAGACUUGAUCUUCUUAUUUGGCAGCUUUGGAUACCAGUGAGUAAGGCAGAAGAUAGACACCAAUGGGUUGGCUGACCUUGAGUCAGAUGUUUAUAUUUGUGGCCAGUGAAAAUAGGACUAUGUUUUCAAACUUGGACAUCCGGGCUCACAAGUCUGGGUAUUUCCCAGUGAAAGGAACUAUUUUACAGUAAAAUUCAACCUAGUGGAAAUUUCUGCAGUUGCAAGUUGCAAAGAAGAAAGUUUAUGUUUUCCUUAUAAACACUUACUAAGAAUAAACUUUAUAUAUGAUGAUAAGUAAAAAUUAAAUAAACAGGAAUCAAAUACAUAGGAAUGAAAGCAAUGAGGUUGAAAAGAAGAAGGACGAUUGAAAUGAAAAGGAAAGGAAAGAAAAGGUACAAAUCAAGAGGAAAAGAACAGAAUUCACCAAAUGAAAUGUUUCCCUGAGUUUGUGUGUGCGUAUGAGACCAGUGGAUCAGUGAGAAAAAAAAUGAAUCAGGGUUUUAGAGAAACAAAAAUGCAAAACAGAGAAAAAGAGGGGGUGGGAUAUUAGUUGGAUUAUAGCCAGUUUUCCAGCUCCAAACAUCUGGAGCCAAGACAAGGAAAGGUGAGGCCCUGUCCUUUGCUGCAACACUUGCCUCCACAGGGGCUGGUUACUCAGGAUAUUUACAUUAAAUUAACGUGGCUGGCUAUGGCUGUGUUCAGCACUUGGAUACGCGGUUAAAUAAUCAGUGUGGUUUGGCUGCUGGUUUCUUUACUGUGGUUGAAUAAUUGGUGUUGUCUUGGUUGCUGGCUACUUAAAAAAUGUAUAUGUGCACUUGUUUCUCUUUUUUCUUUCUCUUGAGCAAUUUUGACAAGCCCUUGGCAGAAAAGUGGCUGACCAGCUUUCAAACCGGUGCUUUUUCUCCUUGUCAUUUAUGCUUCCCCCAGAUGGACUUGAGAAUCUUAAAGACUUUUCUUCCUGGAAUCUAGACGAUGUGCUCUGUGUUAGGAAAGAAUUCAGCUCACUUCUUUUGUUUGUAGCAAAGAGAUAAGGCUGAGUCUAAGUGCAGCUGUGGUUUACUAGAAAUGGAUGCUUCUUUUCUAGGUAUGAUUCACUAGGUCCUCAGAUCCACCAUAAGAAUGGGGAAAGACAAUUACAAUGACCUUUGGAUAAAACAACCCUGCGUUGGUGCUGUGCUUAGUCACUUAGUCGUGUCUGACUCUUUUCGACCCCACGGACUGUAGCCUGUCAGGCUCCCCUGUCCAUGGAAUUCCCCAGGCAAGAAUACUGGAGUGGGUUGCCAUGCCCUCCUCCAGGGGAUCUUCCUGACCUAUGAAUCGAACCCACUACUCUUAUGUCUCCUGCAUUGGCAGGUGGGUUCUUUACCACUAGUGCCACCUGGGAACCCCCAAACAACCCUAUAUGCAGGCAUGUUUCCCAUGUUAGUCACUUGCUAUAUCUUUAAAACGUAGAACAGUACUUGAUACAUAGUAGGUGCUCAAUAUUUGGUAAAUAAAGGAUAAUAACUGAAAAUUUAUAAUUCAGGAUUGACAGUACUUCUAUUCCAGAAAGUUUGCUUCAUUUAGUUGCUUUGUUGAUUUGCUUAACAGUUGUCAAAUUACCACAAGCUGUUCUGCCCUGGGAAACCCACUCCUCCCCAGAUGGCUCUGUCUUUUCUCAUAUUCCAAGACCCAACCCUGACUUCAGGCAAAUGAUGAUCAGGGUGAAUAAUCCUCCUUCGGCAGCAAACUGGGACAGGAGUAUCAAGAGACAGCACAAGUCAGGGACAAGCCUACACCUGCCAACAAACUCCAAUGAUAUAUGCAUAUACAUCAUGAAUGAAGGCAAAGUCUUUAACUGCUACUCGGAAACCACAGGUUCUCAGGGUCCCAGAGGAUAAGGAAACCAAAGGUCCAAGUUUGAAGUCACAUACAGAGAGGAAACUAGUGUUUCUGAGUAGGAAGUGGAAAAGAAAGAGUGUUUUUUCAAAUAUGUGUCAUCAGUAUUAGGAUAAAUUCACCUCUCCUAGAAGUCUAGAACAUGAAUUUUAUGUCAAUCAUUGUGGUUACUCAGAUUCAGGAUAGAUUGGAAAGUAUCAAGUUUCUUAAUAUUGAUUCAGAUCUAUCUCAGGGCAGAGGUGAGGGUGAAUACCUAAGAUUUUAAAGGGAUUUUGGGAGGAUUCUUUAGAAUUCAUUGAUCUUGCCAUUUUAGUAAGGAGUUUUAUUUCCCUUUAUAACAGGCAUUCUUCAACACCUUUUUUGAGAACUACUAAGACCAAGGAUAGGAAAACUCCCAGGAAAUGCAAACCUUUCAUCCCCCACACUGUGCUGGGUGCUAUGGAAACAAGGUGAAAUGGUGGCCAAGGUGGCAAGCUUAGCAGAUCACUUUCUGGGCAUUCUCACUUAUUAGGUGUUGUUGGAUCACUUAACUGCCUUCAACUUAAAUGCCAUCAAUCUUUACCUUAUUAAUUUUCUGAAGACAUAAAUAAUAAUGUUUGUCUUACACAUAAUAAGAGAAAUUAAAAUUAAAGCUACAAUGAGGUAUAAUUUUCAUCUAUCAGAUUGACAAAGAUCCAAAAGUUUAAUAACAUGUUGUGUUGGUGAUGAUGCAAGCAGAUAGCACUCCCGUACGCUGACACAACUUCUAUGGAAAAUGGCUGACCCAUUGAAACAGCACAGAAACCAGCUGAAACUGGUUUUGCCUCCUUAAAUAGGUUGAUUGAUUAAUCAACACGAGUUAUUUUAGAGAAUAGCACUUCACCUGUGCAAGUUAAAAAGCCAUGUCUCCAGGAUGACCUUGGAACUAAGAACCCCCAGCCCACCUAACUCAAAUAGAAAUGUUGCCACCAGAGCCCUUUGUGAAGCAAGAAAUUGGUCAAUAUGGAAAAUCUGACUUCCAACAUCAGUCCAUACAUCAGUUCAUAGCUUACAUGAACUGAUUCAAGACUAGCCAAUCAGCCUCCAAAUUUGAAACUCCCCAACCUUUUAAAUUUCACCCUGAACUGUGGAUCAUGGAGACAGAUUGGAGUCUGGCCUCCUGUCUCUUUGCUGGUCAACCUCACAAUAAAGCUCUUCAUUUUCUCAAAAGCUGGUGUCAUGGUACUGGCUUCUGUGUCCACAGGGGCAGUGAACCUGCUUUGUAACACUAUCAUAAAUAGAACUGUGGAUCUAUCACAGUUUAAAAUGUACCUCCUCUUUGAUGCAGUAAUGUCACUUCCUAAAAUGUAUCCUCUGGCUGUAUUAAAGUACUUAUAAAAAGACAUAUGUGCAAGGUUACUCACUGCUGCAUUGAAACCACAAAAAAUGAACUUUGUUCAUCAGUAAAGGACUGGCUAAAUAAUGUAUGGAACAUCAAAAAAAUGGGAUACUAUGCACUCAUCAAAAGGAUAAGCAAGUAAUAGAUCAGUGCUUGGAACAGCAUCCAAAAUAUAUUAUGAAGUGAAAAAAAGGCAAAGAUUAUUAUUUUAAAAGAUUUAUUUUGUAUACAUAUGUAAUAUCUCUGGGGACACAUAUAAAGCUUUGAUAACAGUUGUUGAGGGAGAAGAAAAAAGAAAUACUGGACUUCCCUGGUGGUCUAGUGGUUAAGAAUCCUGCCGAUGCGGGGGAAACACGUUCGAGCCUUGGUCUGAGAAGAUUCCGUAUGCCUUAAGGAAGCUAAGCCCAUAUGCUGUAACUACUGAGCCUGUGGUCUCUCUAGAGCCCAGGAACCACAAUACUGAAGCCUGCAUGCCCUGGAGCCCGUGCUCUGCAACAGGAAAUACCACCACAAGAAGCCCAUGCACGGCAACAAGAGAGUAGCCCCCCUCACUGCAGCCAGAGAAAGCCUGCAUG
Bos taurus (domestic cattle) is the source of this 5587-nucleotide long non-coding RNA. NCBI's taxonomy places the organism in Eukaryota, Metazoa, Chordata, Mammalia, Artiodactyla, Bovidae. The record is from Ensembl.